Long non-coding RNA from Falco peregrinus (peregrine falcon), 1438 nucleotides. RefSeq lists it as uncharacterized. The record is from RefSeq and is a predicted model, not a curated record. Lineage: Eukaryota; Metazoa; Chordata; Aves; Falconiformes; Falconidae. The transcript has 5 exons.
GUCAUGUGAUGCACCAUCCUGGAGCAAACAGCUUUGGGCAGGAGCCCAACUGCAAACUCUUUUCUCUCUUCCCCCACAAAUUGAAAUUAGUAAAUGUUUCCAUCAGGCAUUUCAGCGGUGACCUCAGGUUUAGAGCUCAGUGUGCCAUACAAAGCCCACGGGCACACCAGCCCAGGCAACACAUGCUACAUGCUGCCGAGAGGACAGCCCGCGUGGGACAGGGCACCUGGGAUAGCUGAGCACACUCCUGUACGCCGCAGAGCCACGACGGCUGCAGUGAGAUGGGAUGGCUGCAGGAAGAAAUGGAUACAUGCAUGAGCACGGACGGAAAAGGCUGGCAGAGUGUUGCAGAACUUCAGCAAGUACAAAUGUAAUGGUCUUCAGCGGAUAUCUGGGGGAACCAAGGAAGAUCUUUAUCUUGGUCUUAUAUUGAUCUUGAUUUUUGUCCACCUGGAAGAAAGGAACUCCCAGCGUGCCACUAGCAGAAGCCACAUACCUCAAAUUAUCAACUGUGAGAUAAAGAAAGAAACUGAGGAGGAUAAAGAGAUAUGAGGUCCCAACCUUAACAUGCUACAUCUGUAUCUUCUGUCUCAAGAAGUUGCUUUCUUUUCAUCAAACACAUUCCAGAAGUCAACAGUAAAAGCACUGACAAGAGACAGCAGAUUGAUCCAUUAACUCUCACUCACUGCUAACAGUUCCUUGGCUGAAACCGGACCCUGCAUUCCACUUGGGAAGGUUUGGUCUGGAUUGGCAAUUUGGUCUGAGUUUCCAGAUCAUUUUGACCUUCUGGCAUGACCAUUAAGAAAUCAUUCCACUGCCAGAUCCAUCUCUGCCUCUAUGGAGAGAUGUCCUGCACAUUCAGACUGCAAGUCCUUCAGGAACUAGUGCUAGUUUUGCUGCCUGUCUGCACAGCCAUGAGAGCAAUGGGACCUGAGAUCCUGCAGAGGAUGCUAGGGGUCCUGGAACCAGACACUGAAAAAUCACUGCACUUCUAUCUGACGUGAAGAAAAAUGCCACCAGCUGCAGCUGAGUUAUGUGUGAGCAUAACUAAUGUGAAAUAAUAAUAAAGGCUGUAAGUACCUAAGUCUGCAACCAUGCUCUAGCACAGCUACAGCAUCUGCAAAUUCAGAUCUACAGAUGCAGGUAUGUACCUUAUCUGUACACAGAAGUGCAAUAAUAAGUAACAGAAAGGUACGAGCAAUUUGGACUUUCCUGUUUUUAGGGACUACACUGGAAGGGUCUCUGAAAGCUAGACCCUUUGAGGAAGUCUCAAGUCCCAGACAGAGUGCUUCAAAUUGCAAGCCACUUCUCACAGUCUUUGCCUAAAUUUGCAAAAGUCAAGACAAGGCUACAGCUGAGAGAAAAAAGCUUCCCUAUCAUCUGACCUGAUUAUUCAGACACAUUUUCAAAAUUAAAAUUAUGAAAAAAUUAAGUCCAA